Molecule: ribosomal RNA, 253 nt
Filed under: uncultured bacterium
Lineage: Bacteria
Description: partial 16S ribosomal RNA
Rfam family: Bacterial small subunit ribosomal RNA
Source: RNAcentral
GACAGAGGUUGCAAGCGUUGUUCGGAAUUACUGGGCAUAAAGCGCGCGUAGGCGGUCCGCUAAGUCAUGUGUGAAAUCCCCCGGCUCAACCGGGGAAUGGCGCCUGAUACUGGCGGACUUGAGAUCGGUAGGGGUGAGUGGAACUCCAGGUGGAGCGGUGAAAUGCGUAGAUAUCUGGAGGAACACCGGUGGCGAAAGCGACUCACUGGACCGACACUGACGCUGAGGCGCGAAAGCUAGGGUAGCAAACGGG